This is a non-coding RNA of Ciona intestinalis (vase tunicate), 306 nucleotides long. NCBI's taxonomy places the organism in Eukaryota, Metazoa, Chordata, Ascidiacea, Phlebobranchia, Cionidae. The record is from RefSeq and is a predicted model, not a curated record.
CUUAGAAUGGUGUUUCGAUAAUAAACAAGAUGCUGCUUAGCAACUUUUCUCUUUGAACAAAAUCUUUAGAAAAGUAAGCACAAGAAAAAGUGCCGAACUUCUUAUAAAGCAACGAUUUCAUUCAAGAAAUUAUCAUUUCUUCGAAAGAUACAACAUGAACAAGUCACUAUUUCUUCUCUUGCUCGUCAUCGGAGUUCUCGUCCUGACUGAAUCAACUGAUGCUGAUGCGUGGCGUCGCCGCCGUCGUCGAUGGGCCUGGGACCAACAAGAAGUUUCAGAUCUUGAAGAAAUGUCAAACACUGAACA